CCUACGGGAGGCAGCAGUGGGGAAUAUUGCACAAUGGGGGAAACCCUGAUGCAGCGACGCCGCGUGAGUGAGGAAGUAUUUCGGUAUGUAAAGCUCUAUCAGCAGGGAAGAAAAUGACGGUACCUGACUAAGAAGCCCCGGCUAACUACGUGCCAGCAGCCGCGGUAAUACGUAGGGGGCAAGCGUUAUCCGGAUUUACUGGGUGUAAAGGGAGCGUAGACGGCUAAUCAAGUCAGAAGUGAAAGCCCGGGGCCCAACCCCGGGACUGCUCUUGGAACUGCAUGGCUGGAGUACAGGAGGGGCAGGCGGAAUUCCUAGUGGAGCGGUGAAAUGCGUAGAUAUUAGGAGGAACACCGGUGGCGAAGGCGGCCUGCUGGACUGUGACUGACGUUGAGGCCCGAAGGCGUGGGGAGCAAACAGGAUUAGAUACCCGUGUAGUC
RNAcentral lists this ribosomal RNA (440 nucleotides) under uncultured bacterium. Its description in RNAcentral is "partial 16S ribosomal RNA". It matches the Rfam family "Bacterial small subunit ribosomal RNA", at positions 338 to 795 of the family's 1533-position model. The record is from RNAcentral.